RNAcentral lists this long non-coding RNA (3286 nucleotides) under Citrus x clementina. RNAcentral describes it as "Citrus clementina (C. clementina) long non-coding RNA (CCLE_LNC000845)". Lineage: Eukaryota; Viridiplantae; Streptophyta; Magnoliopsida; Sapindales; Rutaceae. The record is from RNAcentral.
CUUUAUUCAUUAGUUGCUGGCUUAUUUAUAAUAGCAAGUUACAAUACGAAGUAGUAGUUGAAUCAAACUAAACAACCUCAGCAAAGAAUUAUCACAAGCUACAAUAUGAAAUAGCAGUUGAAUCAAACUAAACAACCUCUGGCAAGUUCUUGCACGUGCAUGGAAGCAUGCAUGUAUCAUGCAUGACCAGCAUGGAGACAAACUCGUUAUCAUGGAACUUGGCAUUAGGCUUUGGCUUCCUUAGGGAUCUUCUCUUAUCAAUACCCCCACCGCGAAAAAGAUCAUUGUCCUCAAGGGUCAAGGAAGGAAAUUGUUCUCUGCUCCUCUAUUGAACUUUCAUCAUACGUAGCUUCUUCCAUCUUGCUUUCACUGUCAAAAAUCAAAAGUUGCGCCUUGCUACACUUAUGCCCGGCUGUAAAUCUCUCAUUGCAGUUGAAGCAUAGCCCUUGUGCGCGGCGUCGUUGCAUCUCCUCCCAUGAAAGUCGUUUGAUGGGUGUUGCUGGUGGCGUUUGGGUGAUGGUCAGCUGUGCACGGUUGCUGGUUGGUGAUUGGAACAAUUUUCGCUGCCUAGACAGCUGCUCAUCCUUCAUUCGUACUAGGCUUAUUGCUUCCUUCAAUGUACGAGGUCUGAACAUUCGGAUCUCCUCCGAAAUUUCAGAUUUCAGUCCCCCCAUAAAGGUACCCACCAGCGCCUUCUGUGUCCACCUUUGAACACGGUUACCUAACUUUUCAAAUUCUUUCUGAUACUCACGUAAUGUUCCUAUUUGUUUGACCCGUGACAGUGCUUCAUCGAAAUCUUCACAGUCCGUUGGUCCGAAGCGUGCCCAAAGUUCCUCUACGAACGUCUCCCAUGUCACAAUUCUGCCCUCUUCUUGGUAAGUUCGGCGUAGCCACCGCCACCAUUGAUUGGCCUCUCCUCCUAGAUGAAAAGACGCCAAAGCUACCUUCUGUUCAUUGGUCGUUUCCUGAUACUCAAAGAAUUGUGUUGUUCGGUUGAACCACUCUGUUGGAUCGUCGUCGAAGUAACGAGGGAAUUCCAGUUUUGCUAUCCUUGGUGGUAUUGGUGGCUGUCCCCCUUCACUUUCUUCUUGAAUUGGCCUUGCUGUAGAACUAGCGUUCCCUUGACUUGUUGCUCCCCUACUAGCACUAAAGGACUCGGCUAACUUACUGAUGGUGUCUUCCAUUCAUUGAAGCUUAUCAUUGAUUCCGAAUUCCAUCUGUGAUAUUCUGUCCUGCAAGCUUUCCAAGUCAGCUUCAAUUCUCUCAAUACGUUCUUUGUUGGUGGUCAUCGUUAACCUUGCUCUGAUACCACUUGAUGCGGUCCCAAUCAAAACAAUGUAUCAAUGACGAAAUAAGUUCUGCUUAUGGUGAGAACAACCAGAAUGUUUAAAGAAUUUUCUUUUUUUUUUUUGCUUCCCUUUAUUCAUUAGUUGCUGGCUUAUUUAUAAGGAGCCGGCUAAGUUAUGUUAAACGUAACUUACGCCAGGUACAACAACAGUGACAAGUCCCAUCACUAGCACUGUUGCUGUAUCUGGCGUAAGUUACGUUUAACGUAACUUAGCCAAAGCCUAUUUAUAAUAGCAAGUUACAAUACGAAGUAGUAGUUGAAUCAAACUAAACAACCUCAGCAAAGAGUUAUCACAAGCUACAAUAUGAAAUAGCAGUUGAAUCAAACUAAACAACCUCAGCAAAGAGUUAUCACAAGCUACAAUAUGAAAUAGCAGUUGAAUCAAACUAAACAACCUCUGGCAAGUUCUUGCACGUGCAUGGAAGCAUGCAUGUAUCAUGCAUGACCAGCAUGGAGACAAACUCGUUAUCAUGGAACUUGGCAUUAGGCUUUGGCUUCCUUAGGGAUCUUCUCUUAUCAAUUGCCAUCUUUACUAUAAGCAUCCAUGAUGAAGCAUGAUUUGUCUGGGUCCUCAUUAUUUUUUGAUAGUAUAUAUGUAGUGUAAGAGAUGCAUGGCUUUCGUAUAAAUCAAGAGUUGAUCUUUACUUCUCUUGGAUGUAUUCUUUCGAAUUUGAAUAUCAUAAUUCAUCUAAUUAGAGCUUCUACAUUUUCUAAUAUUUUGAGAACAUGAAGCCACAUAUAUAAGUGAUAUUUUUUGAAAAAUAAACAAAAAUGGUGUCAAGUUGCACGAGGUAACGUAGUCUUGUUGUCUGAAGAAUUAAAGUGAGACAUUUCCUCAAACAUAUCUGGCAGUUUAUUUGUAACUAGGUUAAUUAUCAAUAAAUAACAUGAUAUAGUCAUCAGAGAAAGCUAUAAUAUUGGCUUACAGAAAAAUUGUCAUAUCAGUUGUGACUCAACUGUUAGAUCUCUAAUAUUAUUGAAUAGAUAAUGGACUGAAACUGCUACCAGAAAUAUAUCAUUGAACAACUGAAGCAGACAAUGGAACCACACAUAAAUCACAUAAUAAUAGAUGGGCAACAAACAGCAGCAUUAACUAUUUAAUAAUUAAUUUUUCAGGAAUAAUGUAUAAAUAAAUUUUAUAACUUAGCCCGGAUCUCGAUCUGCCUCCCAGUGUCAGUGGAGAAGAGGCUAAAGAUGACACUGUGGGUAGCCCUUACCUUGAAUAGUACAAUACUUUCGAAGAGUAUCUAGCUUCUUUAAUUUAUUGAAUCCAGCAUUAUGCAGAGAUUUAUGUGAGGCCACGCUAUCAACUUCUGACAAAGUCUCAAGUCUCUCCAAAUGUGGCAACUUAUCAAAUAUGAUAUUAGCCACUACUUACACAGCACUUGUUGCAAGCCCUUUGCCCCAGAAGCUUGGAAGCACAGCACAAUUGUUUUGCAGCUCUGCACCUAUUAGAGUCGCCGUGAUACAAAAAUUGUACAAAUUGGCUUGUUAUUGAGGGAUAUUGCUUUGAACCUCGGAUGCGGGCCAUGCGGCAUAAGUGCGUUCUCGAAAAAGUUCAGUAGUUCACGAUGACAUUGACAUAUUCUAAAUCCAAAUUGAAAUUCCGAAUCAGGCUAUCAUGAAUUAGCCAAAAACAAGCAACUCUUGCCUCUGAAACAUCGAAAGGCCUCAGCUUGAGAAUGAUAUUACCCCAUUGCUAAUGUUAAAUGCGGACCGCCACCUAGUUUUUAGUUUUUACUCAAUGGUAAAAGUUCUUAGCACCAUUGAUAUGACACAAACCCACACUAUAAAAACUGUUAUUGGGUCAACUUUUAUCAGGUUGUGUCGUUUAUGAGUCAAUUCAUUAAAGAGUGGAGCUAUUGGCACCCCUACAUUAUUCUUACAAGACCCCCCUUUAAAUAAAAUUAUAAUUAAAGACAAUUGAAAAUUAAACAC